UGGGGAAUAUUGGACAAUGGGCGCAAGCCUGAUCCAGCCAUGCCGCGUGUGUGAAGAAGGCCUUCGGGUUGUAAAGCACUUUCAGUGGUGAGGAAGGGGAGUAAGUUAAUAGCUUGCUUCAUUGACGUUAGCCACAGAAGAAGCACCGGCUAACUCCGUGCCAGCAGCCGCGGUAAUACGGAGGGUGCGAGCGUUAAUCGGAAUUACUGGGCGUAAAGCGCACGUAGGCGGCCUGUUAAGCAAGAUGUGAAAGCCCAGGGCUCAACCUUGGAAUUGCAUUUUGAACUGGCAGGCUAGAGUUUUGAAGAGGGUGGUAGAAUUUCCAGUGUAGCGGUGAAAUGCGUAGAUAUUGGAAGGAAUACCAGUGGCGAAGGCGGCCACCUGGUCAAAAACUGACGCUGAGGAGCGAAAGCGUGGGGAGCAAACAGGAUUAGAUACCCCCGUAGUCC
This 449-nucleotide ribosomal RNA is filed under the name uncultured prokaryote. Its description in RNAcentral is "bacterial SSU rRNA". It matches the Rfam family "Bacterial small subunit ribosomal RNA", at positions 355 to 796 of the family's 1533-position model. The record is from RNAcentral.